GACGAACGCUGGCGGCGUGCUUAACACAUGCAAGUCGAACGGAAAGGCCCUGCUUUUGUGGGGUGCUCGAGUGGCGAACGGGUGAGUAACAAGUGAGUAACCUGCCCUUGACUUUGGGAUAACUUCAGGAAACUGGGGCUAAUACCGGAUAGGAGCUCCUGCUGCAUGGUGGGGGUUGGAAAGUUUCGGCGGUUGGGGAUGGACUCGCGGCUUAUCAGCUUGUUGGUGGGGUAGUGGCUUACCAAGGCUUUGACGGGUAGCCGGCCUGAGAGGGUGACCGGCCACAUUGGGACUGAGAUACGGCCCAGACUCGUACGGGAGGCAGCAGUGGGGAAUAUUGCACAAUGGGCGGAAGCCUGAUGCAGCAACGCCGCGUGCGGGAUGACGGCCUUCGGGUUGUAAACCGCUUUCGCCUGUGACGAAGCGUGAGUGACGGUAAUGUGUAAAGAAGCACCGGCUAACUACGUG
RNAcentral lists this ribosomal RNA (468 nucleotides) under uncultured bacterium. RNAcentral describes it as "partial 16S ribosomal RNA". It matches the Rfam family "Bacterial small subunit ribosomal RNA", at positions 28 to 507 of the family's 1533-position model. The record is from RNAcentral.